RNA transcript from Haliaeetus leucocephalus (bald eagle), 1575 nucleotides. It is a transcript of the gene named glutathione S-transferase kappa 1, with no coding region annotated. The record is from RefSeq and is a predicted model, not a curated record. The transcript has 9 exons. NCBI's taxonomy places the organism in Eukaryota, Metazoa, Chordata, Aves, Accipitriformes, Accipitridae.
UGCCGCUGCCGCCGGGUCGCGCUGGGGAGCGGGAGCGGGUCGGGACGGCGAUGGCGCGGACUCUCGUGGAGCUCUUUUACGAUGUGGUGUCCCCUUACUCCUGGCUGGGGUUUGAGGUGCUCUGCCGGUACCGGCAGAUCUGGAAUAUUGAUCUGCGCUUUCGUCCAGCUUUCCUUGGGGGCAUAAUGCAAGCAACUGGUAACAAGCCCCCAGCAAUGUUGCCAAAGCGUGCAGAAUACAUGUUGAAGGAUGUAAAACGGAUGGCAAAAUACUACCAAGUGCCUGUACAAAUUUCAGAAGAUGACUUCCAACGUAUUAUUGGUACAAGCAGUCUUGGGGCCAUGCGCUUUAUCACAGCCAUUGAUAUGACACAACCACAAUACUUGGAACCCUUAUCUAGGGAGUUCUGGAUACGUUUUUGGUCACAGCAUGAAGAUAUCAGUCAGCCGGAGAAUAUGUUGGCUGUUGCUGGACAGGCUGGGCUAUCAUCAGAGCUCUCCCAGAAGCUACUUGAAAUGAUUUCAUCCCCUGCAGUGAAGAACCGACUGAAAGAGACAACAGAGGAAGCAAUAAAAUAUGGGGCUCUGGAGACUCCCCUACUUUCUGAUGGCUCCAUUAGACUCAUCUUUAAGAAUGAAGAAGGCAUUUGGGAUGCCUGCUGUUGUGGCACAUCUUAAUGGAAAACCUCAUCUCUUUUUUGGCUCUGAUCGUUUAGAGCUCCUAGGAAGCGUUAUAGGUGAAAAAUGGCUGGGACCCGUUCCAUCAGUUCCAAGCCCCAAGAUGUGAAAAGUCCUGGGGAAAUGUAUGGGAAUGAAAAUAUAUAUGUACAUGGUUAAUCUUCACUGAUCAUCUGAAUGUACCCAAUUUUAUGGAGAGAUAGCUUUCUUAUCCUUAACAGCUAACUUUACAGCUCAGUCUCAUCUCUAAUUAUGAAGAAUUUCAAGGUUUGCCAGUAUUACCAGCCUGGUGAGGUCUUUACUAACACAAAUGUGCUUUUUUUCUUUCAACAGAUUAAUGAUUAACAUGAAAGAUUAAACGUAAAAUACUUAACUUCUUGCAGAUUAAACACCCUCCUGAUUAGUUCUCUUUCUCUUACACUAAAAGCACGAGGAUUAAAUUGUUGGUGUGGAACUGAGAUCUCUGGAUUUCUCCCUAAAAGUGUAAGGAUUAAAUUGCUAUGGGACUACAGUCUCUGGAUUUCUUGUAUCUUCCUGCUUGUCCUUUAGAAACACACACAUACAGCCUAAGAGAAGCUGGCCACAUUCUCCUUUUAUUUUACGUCCAAGGUACUACACAGACACUAGAAGCACAGGACAAGGUAUUCACACUUCCCUUUACUCUGCAAUAUGGCAGUUGGAGGGGACACAGGAGAGAAGAGUGGAAGAGAGAGGGACAGUUCAAGCCCAAAGAAAGAUCUAGGGAACUAAUCAAGUAGUUCAAAAGGAACUGUCCCCCUCCCAGACAGUAUUUUAUACACCUUGCUCUGCAGUGACUGACAUUUGAGACCACCCCACACACAUGCAUUCUCAGGCACCAACCCCAGACCUUGCAGGGGUUUUUAAUCAAUAAUUUACA